CGGCAGCACGGGGGUAACCCUGGUGGCGAGUGGCGAACGGGUGAGGAAUACAUCGGAACGUAUCUUUAAGUGGGGGAUAACGCAUCGAAAGGUGUGCUAAUACCGCAUAAUCUCUGAGGAGAAAAGCAGGGGAUCGCAAGACCUUGCGCUUUUGGAGCGGCCGAUGCCUGAUUAGCUUGUUGGUGAGGUAAAAGCUCACCAAGGCUUCGAUCAGUAGCUGGUCUGAGAGGACGACCAGCCACACUGGGACUGAGACACGGCCCAGACUCCUACGGGAGGCAGCAGUGGGGAAUUUUGGACAAUGGGGGAAACCCUGAUCCAGCCAUGCCGCGUGAGUGAAGAAGGCCUUCGGGUUGUAAAGCUCUUUCAGCCGGAACGAAACGGUUACGGUUAAUACCCGUGACUACUGACGGUACCGGAAGAAGAAGCACCGGCUAACUACGUGCCAGCAGCCGCGGUAAUACGUAGGGUGCGAGCGUUAAUCGGAAUUACUGGGCGUAAAGCGUGCGCAGGCGGUUUUGUAAGUCAGAUGUGAAAUCCCCGGGCUUAACCUG
This 554-nucleotide ribosomal RNA is filed under the name uncultured bacterium. Its description in RNAcentral is "bacterial SSU rRNA". It matches the Rfam family "Bacterial small subunit ribosomal RNA", at positions 67 to 616 of the family's 1533-position model. The record is from RNAcentral.